UGCCCAGUGACCAUAUGUUUCCGGCCGUGGUACUUUGACCGUGCGAAGGUAGCGCAAUCACUUGUCUUUUAAAUGAAGACCUGUAUGAAUGGCAUGACGAGGGCUUAACUGUCUCCUUUUUCCAGUCAAUGAAAUUGAUCUUCCCGUGCAGAAGCGGGAAUAAUAUCAUAAGACGAGAAGACCCUGUGGAGCUUCAGACACUAAAUCAGCCCUUGUCCAAAAUCCCAAUUAAGGGGCCGAACACUAGAGUAAAGCCUGAUUUAACGUCCUUCGGUUGGGGCGACCUUGGGGAAAGAAAAACCCCCAACGCGGACACAGAAGUAUUUACUACUUCCAAAACUAAGAGCCGCCACUCAAAGUAUCAGGAAAUUUCUGAACAACUAUAUGAUCCGGCCUAAACGCCCGAUCAACGGACCGAGUUACCCCAGGGGAUAACAGCGCAAUUCCUCUUUUAGAGCCCAUAUCGACAAGAGGGUUUACGACCUCGAUGUUGGAUCAGGACAUCCUAAUGGUGCAGCCGCUAUUAACGGGUUCGUAUUGUUCAACGAUUAAAGUCCUACGUGAAACCCUGAA
RNAcentral lists this ribosomal RNA (573 nucleotides) under Premnas biaculeatus (spinecheek anemonefish). Its description in RNAcentral is "partial 16S ribosomal RNA". It matches the Rfam family "Bacterial large subunit ribosomal RNA", at positions 1860 to 2609 of the family's 2925-position model. The record is from RNAcentral. Lineage: Eukaryota; Metazoa; Chordata; Actinopteri; Pomacentridae.